AGAGUUUGAUCCUGGCUCAGGACGAACGCUGGCGGCGUGCCUAACACAUGCAAGUCGAGCGGGGGACUUUUAGUCCCUAGCGGCGGACGGGUGAGUAACACGUGGGUAAUCUACCCGGAAGACUGGGAUAACGGCUCGAAAGGGCCGCUAAUACCGGAUAAUGUCGGUACCUCGCAUGGGGUAUUGAAGAAAGGGGAAACCCGCUUUCGGAUGAGCCCGCGGCCCAUCAGCUAGUUGGUGAGGUAACGGCUCACCAAGGCGACGACGGGUAGCCGGUCUGAGAGGAUGGUCGGCCACACUGGGACUGAGAUACGGCCCAGACUCCUACGGGAGGCAGCAGUCGGGAAUAUUGGGCAAUGGGCGAAAGCCUGACCCAGCGACGCCGCGUGAGGGAAGAAGGCCUUCGGGUCGUAAACCUCUGUCAUCGGGGGCGAAGGAAGUGACGGUACCCGAGGAGGAAGCCCCUGCUAACUACGUGCCAGCAGCCGCGGUAAUACGUAGGGGGCGAGCGUUGUCCGGAGUUACUGGGCGUAAAGGGCGUGUAGGCGGCCUGUUAAGUCAGGUGUGAAAUUCCGGGGCUUAACUCCGGAGCUGCGCUUGAAACUGGCAGGCUAGAGGGCAGGAGAGGGAAGUGGAAUUCCCGGUGUAGCGGUGGAAUGCGUAGAUAUCGGGAGGAACACCAGUGGCGAAGGCGGCUUCCUGGACUGUACCUGACGCUGAGGCGCGAAAGCUAGGGGAGCAAACAGGAUUAGAUACCCUGGUAGUCCUAGCCGUAAACGAUGAGUGCUAGGUGUGGGGGGUUAAAAUCCCUCCGUGCCGGAGUUAACACAAUAAGCACUCCGCCUGGGGAGUACGGCCGCAAGGCUAAAACUCAAAUGAAUUGACGG
Molecule: ribosomal RNA, 887 nt
Filed under: uncultured bacterium
Lineage: Bacteria
Description: bacterial SSU rRNA
Rfam family: Bacterial small subunit ribosomal RNA
Source: RNAcentral